This 265-nucleotide ribosomal RNA is filed under the name uncultured bacterium. RNAcentral's name for it is "partial 16S ribosomal RNA". It matches the Rfam family "Bacterial small subunit ribosomal RNA", at positions 89 to 354 of the family's 1533-position model. The record is from RNAcentral.
UGGCGACCGGCGCACGGGUGCGUAACGCGUAUGCAACCUACCUGUAACAGGGGGAGUAACACUGAGAAAUCGGUACUAAUACCGCAUAACACUAUGAGAGGCAUCUCUUGUGGUUGAAAGUUUCGGCGGUUACAGAUGGGCAUGCGUUGUAUUAGCUGGUUGGUAAGGUAACGGCUUACCAAGGCGACGAUACAUAGGGGGACUGAGAGGUUAACCCCCCACAUUGGUACUGAGACACGGACCAAACUCCUACGGGAGGCAGCAG